This 497-nucleotide ribosomal RNA is filed under the name uncultured bacterium. Its description in RNAcentral is "partial 16S ribosomal RNA". It matches the Rfam family "Bacterial small subunit ribosomal RNA", at positions 28 to 507 of the family's 1533-position model. The record is from RNAcentral.
GAUGAACGCUGGCGGCGUGCCUAAUACAUGCAAGUCGAGCGAACGGACGAGAAGCUUGCUUCUCUGAUGUUAGCGGCGGACGGGUGAGUAACACGUGGAUAACCUACCUAUAAGACUGGGAUAACUUCGGGAAACCGGAGCUAAUACCGGAUAAUAUUUUGAACCGCAUGGUUCAAAAGUGAAAGACGGUCUUGCUGUCACUUAUAGAUGGAUCCGCGCUGCAUUAGCUAGUUGGUAAGGUAACGGCUUACCAAGGCAACGAUGCAUAGCCGACCUGAGAGGGUGAACUGCCACACUGGAACUGAGAGACGGUCCAGACUCCUACGGGAGGCAGCAGUAGGGAAUCUUCCGCAAUGGGCGAAAGCCUGACGGAGCAACGCCGCGUGAGUGAUGAAGGUCUUCGGAUCGUAAAACUCUGUUAUUAGGGAAGAACAUAUGUGUAAGUAACUGUGCACAUCUUGACGGUACCUAAUCAGAAAGCCACGGCUAACUACGUG